Myotis myotis is the source of this 3936-nucleotide long non-coding RNA. RefSeq lists it as uncharacterized. The transcript has 5 exons. Lineage: Eukaryota; Metazoa; Chordata; Mammalia; Chiroptera; Vespertilionidae. The record is from RefSeq and is a predicted model, not a curated record.
UUUUGUAUGUACCCUGACCAGGGAUCAAACCCACAACCUUGGCAUAUCAGGGCAGCACUCUAACCAACUGAGCUACCUGGCCAGGGCAAAUAUGUAGAAAUUACAAGUGUAAGUUGGACAUUCCCCGAGGGGUCCCGGAAUGCAAGAGGGCGCAGGCUGGACUGAAAGAUCCCCGAGUGCACAAAUUUCAUGCACUGGGCCUCUAGUAAAGUAAAUAGCAUAGUAACUUUUAUGGUGAUAGAUGGUUACUAGACUUAUUGUAGUAUUCACUUUGUAAGGUCUAUUAAUGUUGAAUCACUGUGUUGUUCACAUGAAAAUAAACUAUGUUAAUUAUAAUUAAAAAGGAGUUAAUUAUAAAUGUUAAAAAAUAGGAAAAAAUAGAGGCUUGAACUUUGUCAAGUUUUUGCUUCCUAUGUAUCCUUUCCAAAAACCUAUUUAGAUCUUCAGUAUUUGUCCACCUUUCAUUCUGUGUCAAGUGUAAAUGUAUACAUAUUGUUUCAUUUACGUCUAAGCCUGCUGUGUGAAUUUCUGCUUUUGUACUCCUCAAAGUUCAUUUACACCUGUUAAGUACUUUUAGUUGAGUGUAAAUUCUAAAUGAAAAGAGAAUGCUUUAAACUGAAGUAAAGUACAUAGGUAUGAGGUGUUUUUAUGAUACCUACUCAUUUCUGAGUUAAUCUUGACCAUAUUUUUCUUCAUUUCAUAAAUUAACAGCCCUCCACCCAGUGGCAACAUACUAAGACUGAUGAAUUGGGACAUCUCAAUAAAAAAUAUUCUGUUGCAGGGAGAGAUACAGUUCUCUAAAAGGCAAAACAUCAAGUACAGACUCUUUAAAAUUUAGGAGUCAGAGUAUCUCUAGGCACAUUGUGUUGCAGGCAUCGCCUCACAAAUCUGCCAACGCAUGUCCUUUCUGAGCUUCAACACAGCUGCUGUUCCAACAGUCCCUCUCCUCUCCUCUCCUUGAUGUAGUGGUUUAUGCUUUGCAUUGGUGUUUUGGUUUAUGAUGGGGAAGGCAAAAAUACAAAAGAAUCCCUUCCUCAUUUUUCUUAUGAUAGUAUGGGUUUCAACAAUGCAAUAAUGUGAAUUAAGUAGCAGUGACUUCUCUGGAUCAUUCUUAUACUAAGAAACAUGAAGGGCAUUCGGUGUUUUACAUAUAGAUGAGUGCAUUUAUAUAAAUAAGAAACUUUAAAGAAUAAGGUUACUUGUAAAGAUUAAGACACAUUAAAAAACUACAUGUUCUUACAGCAAUUUGUUCUAUCCUUUUUUUUCCCCUCUGUAACACAGUUAUUCCUCCCCCGCUCCCCACACAACAGAUUUAUAAUGUAAGAAUAGAAUCAUGGUGCAGCCUGCAACUCCCAGAGCAUGUGAUAUAAUGAAGGUGCUUCAGUAACUUUGGAGCAAAAAGGAAAUUCAAGGAAUGGUUGAAGAUAGAAGACUAUUGUUAGCUAGGGCAAGAAUCUCAAGGUCUGGGCUGUUUUUACUAAGUGCUAUUCUUGCCAUACGUUAAAAUGGAGCAGUUAGUUUGCAGAUGCAGCUGUCACCUGAUGAGCUUGAUGGGAAAGUGGGGCAUAGUCUUUGUUGUCUGAGAGUUUACAAUAUGACAUUUGAAUAUUUGGGAUGAGUGAAUCUAAGAGAAGUAUAAAAAUAAUAUUAAUAUGGUGAGUAUUUUAAAAGAGGAAUUAAUAAUGUACUAUUAAGAUUGAAAAGAGACCAUCUGUUGUGAAGAACCUGAAAAAGUUUCAUGGAAUUGGGUGGGAGUGUAAGAAUAGGUAUAAUUUUGAAAAGUAGGAUUGGAGUGAGUGGAGAAAACAGUGUGGUAAAGAUGCAGAAAUCUAAGUGAUUUAAUCUUUGAGCUUGUAGGUUUAUGUGAGACUUCAGUUGGUAUUAAUAGGAGUUACCCACUUAAUUCCCCCAGUCAUCACUGAAGCUGCAGGAACUCUAUUCCAAUGCAUUUUAUAUAUUUUUAGAAACCAAAUAAAUGCAGAUAACUAUUUAGUAUACUAAUUAUAUUAAACCAGCAGAAACAUAAAGGCAAUAAAGUAUAUACAUAUAUAUAUGGGGGGAAGGAAAGAUUAAAAAAUAGGUUUACAGCCAGACACGGUGAUAGCCCUAAAUGUACUAGUAUAUCUCAGCCUGUCUUUCUUUAUUUACCCCAGGAGGAUUUGAGUUGUUGCAUCUUUAAACAGAAAAUCAACACGUUUACUAAUUGUGGACGCAUAAAUAUGCUUUUAGUACUGCUUUGCUUAUGUACAAAUAAAAUAUCUGUAGUCUGUAAAAAAAAUCCUUAACUAUUUGGUCUUGGCUACUUUACAUGGCUAACUUUUUACUUAUUGCUGAAAGUGGUGAUGAGAUGGACUUGAAUAAUAUAAACUCUAUUGGAAAUAAACCUAAAUAAUUUAGACUCUUAUUGUAAAUAUAAACUUUAUGAUUAAUUUAUUGCUCUAGCAUGCAACCAACCAGUAUACUAAAAAUAGGAUUGUGGUAGCAUUGACUAGACUAUAGGAUCAUAUAGAAUUUACAGACUACUAGAACUGGAAGGGACACUGGAGGUCAGUAAUUUAUCAUGCUCAUUUUGAAGAUUAAGAACCAGGACCAGAGAGAUAAAUGAGUUGCCUGUUUUUCUACAGAUAUUUGCAGAGGUGAAUGUCUUAUAAAAUUUAUCUGUUAGAAUUGUUUGAAACAUACCUCUUAACUCAUUUUUGUUAAGGCAACUAAAUUUAAAAUAUUUAAUUUUUACAAAAUUUGCAGUCCAAUGUUUUCACUGCUUCCUACCCCUUUAUUAGAAAUCCCAUUUAUAUUUCUCAACUAGAAGAUGGUAAAAAAAUAUAUAUCAAAUAUAUAAUGUAUUUUGGGUGUAGUAGAGUUGGUGAAUGAGAUGGAUAGGAACAUAAUUAUGCCAGUUGGUUUAAGUUUUUCAGCCCCCAUAAACAUUAGAAGAAAUUUUAAACUAUCCUGAAAAUGGGGAGAUUUAAUCUACCACAAAAUAAGACUAGGAUUUUUAACAAAAAAAAUAUUUUUGAACUAUAAGCAAAAUCAAUUUACAUUUUUACUCUUUAUUAGCAAGAUACAUUUUAGGUCUGUUCUCAAUGCUAGCACUUCAUUGUAGUAUUAGAGAUACCAUUUUGUCCAGAGGUAAUUUUUUUUAACAGCCUUAUUAACAUAUAAUUAACAUACUAUAUAAUUUGCCCACUUAAAAUGUUCAAUUCAAUUUUUUUCAGUUAUGCAAUUGCAACCACAAUCUGAUUUUAGUACAUUCUCAUUACCCCUCGCCCCGCCACAAAGAAACUCUGUAUUCAUUAGCUUCCCAUUAUCCCCACAAAUCAUGCAGCCCUAGGCACCACUAUUCUGCUUUCUGUUUUCAUAGAUUCACCUAUUCUGGAUAUUUCAUAUAAAUAGAAUGACAUAGUAUAUCCUUUGUGAUUAGCUCUUUCACUUAGUAUAUGUUUUUAAGACUCAUCCAUGUAGCAUGUGUCAGUAUUUUAUUUUUUAUUGCCAAAAUAUAGUCCAUGUAUGAAUGUACCAAAUUUUAUUAUCAUCUGCUAGACAUUUGAGUUAUUUCUGCAAAUAUUUUCUCGAUUGUAUAGAUUGUCUUUUCUGAGAUUUGUUUUUUUGUGUGUGUGUUUUUAAUAAAGUUAACACAAUUUGAGAAAUAUAACUUACCACCUUUUAAUGGACCUGCAGGAAAGGAAAACCCUGAUACUACAUCUUUUAAGGAUAUUAUCCUUAGAAACUUGGAAAGAUUAGGAAGAAUGAAUUAAGGAACUGAGAAGUAUAGUGCAAGGUCAACUAUUUUAUUAUAGUAUUCUCCAGACUCUGUGUUUCGAUCCUGUUCUCUUUUUCUGGUGUUCCUUUUUCCAGCUUUUGAAAUCUCACUACACCUGAGGUACUUCAAAUAUAACACCUGUAUUCUUUGAGGUACCUCUGUUAUAGUAUACUAGA